GACCCCAUAGUACAACGGCUAGUACACUGGGUUUUCAUCCCGGCAAUGGUGGGUUCGAUUCCCCCUGGGGUCA
RNAcentral lists this transfer RNA (73 nucleotides) under Desulfobacterales bacterium. RNAcentral describes it as "tRNA-Glu". It matches the Rfam family "tRNA". Rfam says of the family: Transfer RNA (tRNA) molecules are approximately 80 nucleotides in length. The record is from RNAcentral. Lineage: Bacteria; Pseudomonadati; Thermodesulfobacteriota; Desulfobacteria; Desulfobacterales.